UCUUUUUUUAGUUUUCUUUAGUUUUAUUCUGCCUGUUUUUAAGGGUUUUUUUAGUUUUUUUUCAGUUUUUUUGUUAUUUAUAUAUAUAUAUAGGUUGUUCUUUUCUGAAAUACUUUUCCUUCUGUUUUUUUUUUAUUUUGUUUAUACCAUCCUUUCUAUCCUUUAUUUCUUUAGUUUUUUUCUGCCUGUUUUAAGUUUUUUUUUUUUUUUUUUUUUUUUUUUUCUAUAUAUUUGGGGUGUUUUUUCUGAUAUACUUUUCUUUCUGUUUUUUCAAUUUUGUUUAUACUAUCCUUUCUCUUUUUUUAGUUUUCUCUAGUUUUUUUUCUGCCUGUUUUAAGUUUUUUUAUUAGUU
Molecule: non-coding RNA, 352 nt
Organism: Xyrichtys novacula (pearly razorfish)
Lineage: Eukaryota; Metazoa; Chordata; Actinopteri; Labriformes; Labridae
Source: the annotation of a GenBank genome assembly